RNAcentral lists this unclassified non-coding RNA (361 nucleotides) under Bombus terrestris (buff-tailed bumblebee). Its description in RNAcentral is "misc RNA ENSBTSG00005029590.1". The record is from RNAcentral. Lineage: Eukaryota; Metazoa; Arthropoda; Insecta; Hymenoptera; Apidae.
GCAAGAAUGCGAUUCAUCGAGCGGCCUCGCGUCGGCGCCACCCCGCGGGACAGGCGGCGAGAAACCCACGUUUUAAGUAGCUAAUUAUCGCGCGGGGCCGCCACGCUCUCUGAAAAACAACGGCGCAAAAUCGACAACCAUUGGCCGGAUGACUAUGAAUCUUUCGCGUAUGCCCGUCGCUCUCAGCGUUCCAUCAUCAUCGUGUACGAGGGCCCCGUGCCGCUUCCUGUAUGCGGUCUCGAAACAAGCGCAAUAUUUCUGAACCUAUACACACGAGCACAGACUCUUGGCUACGUCCACAGUGAAUCGAGCAGUUUUGACUCGAGGCGUGGAAGGAAGUUGAUCGAGUUGAUUGAUUAAG